RNAcentral lists this ribosomal RNA (460 nucleotides) under uncultured bacterium. RNAcentral's name for it is "partial 16S ribosomal RNA". It matches the Rfam family "Bacterial small subunit ribosomal RNA", at positions 338 to 795 of the family's 1533-position model. The record is from RNAcentral.
CCUACGGGAUGCAGCAGUGAGGAAUAUUGGUCAAUGGACGAGAGUCUGAACCAGCCAAGUAGCGUGAAGGAUGACUGCCCUAUGGGUUGUAAACUUCUUUUAUAUGGGAAUAAAAUGUUCCACGUGUGGGAUUUUGUAUGUACCAUAUGAAUAAGGAUCGGCUAACUCCGUGCCAGCAGCCGCGGUAAGACGGAGGAUCCGAGCUUUAUCCGGAUUUAUUGGGUUUAAAGGGAUCGUAUGUGGUUUGUUAAGUCAGUUGUGAAAGUUUGCGGCUCAACCGUAAAAUUGCAGUUGAAACUGGCAGUCUUGAGUACAGUAGAGGUGGGCGGAAUUCGUGGUGUAGCGGUGAAAUGCUUAGAUAUCACGAAGAACUCCGAUUGCGAAGGCAGUUCACUGGACUGCAACUGACACUGAGGCUCGAAAGUGUGGGUAUCAAACAGGAUUAGAUACCCGUGUAGUC